CACCUAUAGCCUCAAAGAGCAUCACAGUUUAUCUUUUUACUUAUGUAUCCCAUAAUAAAUUGUGAGCUCCUUGAGGUAUAAACU
RNAcentral lists this microRNA precursor (84 nucleotides) under Marmota monax (woodchuck). The record is from RNAcentral. Lineage: Eukaryota; Metazoa; Chordata; Mammalia; Rodentia; Sciuridae.